Molecule: long non-coding RNA, 1431 nt
Organism: Cuculus canorus (common cuckoo)
Lineage: Eukaryota; Metazoa; Chordata; Aves; Cuculiformes; Cuculidae
Exons: 3
Source: RefSeq, a predicted model, not a curated record
GGCACUAGUUUAGAUUAGCCAUGUCCCGUGCAAUUUGACAGUAGCGACAUGAACCUGCAGCGCAUGGAUCUGAAGCAAAGAUAGGAGGAAGGAGGAGGAAUUCAGGGAAUGUUUUCCCUCCGAGCACUGUGGAGGCACUGACGGUGGGACCGGGGCUGCAGUGACAGCAUUAACACUUCCCAGAGCCGAGGACCCCAACACUGGAAUGGCAUUGCCCACCCUGAAAGUGAGAAGACUAUGCAGGAAAGACUGAUAAGAUUCCACUAAUAUUUAGUGCAGGAACACUCUGACGGGCACUGCCGAAGAUGCUGAGGCACUGAGCAAUACGGACUCUGCAUUGUCCGUGGUUUCUGCGUGGAUUUGGCACAGCAGCAGUCACAACGGUAAAGUUUGGCUGCUUUACAUCGCAAUUGAGAAAGGUGCACCAGAAGCACAAGACUGACACCCAGUUCCCCGAGCAAAUAACUGCAAAUAAUUUAAUCUAAAAUAAGUACUUUGGGAAUUUAAUUCAAUCAAUUAUAUGGUUUUUUGUCUACAAACUAAAAAUCUGCAUCUCGCCAGCAAGUUAAAGAAAAAAAAUCCUUCUUCUUGGCACAUCCCCUGUAACAAAUGUGGAAGCUUGCUGAUGACCACAAAUAUAUUGUAAAAAUGUGUAAACCAAAGGCUGUGAUAUUUUCCAAAAGAACACCUGGAAGGUGUAAAUCAAAAAUAUUGUAAACACGUCAGCUGGGAACAUACGACAGGCACACUGGGUUGCUGUGCACCCGGCCCAUCGGGCUUUGGAAAUCCGAAUCGAUAAAUCAGGGGAUGAACCUUAGACUAAUAAACAGUUCUUUUAUGAAAAGGAGAUAUUCUCUGCCCCUGCAGCCUAACGGUGAACCAACAAAAGAUGAAUUUGUUGCAUUUAGGAAAAUACAGGAGGGCGUUUCCAGUAAUGUGAUUUUUUUAAAUAAAAUGCUGCUCAGCAAAACUCUCAAAAUGAAGCUCAUCUUGUGUUGUGCUCUGUUGAAAUGAGAAACAAAACUAUGAAUGCUCUCAAUAAUUCAGCUCUUUUCUUAGAAAUAGUUUUCAGGCAUUUAUUUCCCCCCUUAAGGUUUUUGUCAAUAAGAUGCAAAGGUUGUAUUUUACACCUACGUUGUAUUUUACACCGACAUUACGUUUUACACCUACAUUAUAUUUAACAUCCACAUUAUAUUUUACAUUUGCAUGACCAGAGGUUUGCAGUGAAGCGAGGGGAGAAAUUUGGUGAGCAGAUUGCUGAGCAAAGGAAUUGCAAAAGACGGCAGAACGAGGCUCCUCGCUUUGCUGCACUGACAAAAACUAAAACUGGGUUUUUCCCUUAUGGUUAUCUCGGUCGACUGAAAGAAGCCCUAUUAAAAUGCUAUCUUCUGGAAAGCGUCAUAGAGGCAUGAGGUUGGUAAACAUUAUAAA